UACAGAGGUCUCAAGCGUUGUUCGGAUUUAUUGGGCGUAAAGGGCGCGUAGGUGGCGACCCAAGUCGAUGGUGAAAGCUCGCCGCUCAACGGCGAGUCGGCCACCGAUACUGGGUUGCUCGAGCACUGUAGAGGCUAAUGGAAUUCCGGGUGUAGCGGUGGAAUGCGUAGAGAUCCGGAAGAACACCGGUGGCGAAGGCGGUUAGCUGGGCAGUUGCUGACACUGAGGCGCGACAGCGUGGGGAGCAAACAGG
This 253-nucleotide ribosomal RNA is filed under the name uncultured bacterium. Its description in RNAcentral is "partial 16S ribosomal RNA". It matches the Rfam family "Bacterial small subunit ribosomal RNA", at positions 524 to 776 of the family's 1533-position model. The record is from RNAcentral.